UAAACGACUCUCGGCAACGGAUAUCUCGGCUCACGCAUCGAUGAAGAACGUAGCAAAAUGCGAUACUUGGUGUGAAUUGCAGAAUCCCGUGAACCAUCGAAGGUCCARUUGCGCCCGAGCCUUCCGGCUGAGGGCACG
Molecule: ribosomal RNA, 138 nt
Filed under: Coreopsis major
Lineage: Eukaryota; Viridiplantae; Streptophyta; Magnoliopsida; Asterales; Asteraceae
Description: 5.8S ribosomal RNA
Rfam family: 5.8S ribosomal RNA
About the family: 5.8S ribosomal RNA (5.8S rRNA) is a component of the large subunit of the eukaryotic ribosome. It is transcribed by RNA polymerase I as part of the 45S precursor that also contains 18S and 28S rRNA. Functionally, it is thought that 5.8S rRNA may be involved in ribosome translocation.
Source: RNAcentral